Molecule: ribosomal RNA, 449 nt
Filed under: uncultured bacterium
Lineage: Bacteria
Description: partial 16S ribosomal RNA
Rfam family: Bacterial small subunit ribosomal RNA
Source: RNAcentral
AACGAACGCUGGCGGCAUGCCUAACACAUGCAAGUCGAACGAAGGCUUCGGCCUUAGUGGCGCACGGGUGCGUAACGCGUGGGAAUCUGCCCCUCGGUUCGGAAUAACAGUUAGAAAUGACUGCUAAUACCGGAUGAUGACUUCGGUCCAAAGACUUAUCGCCGAGGGAUGAGCCCGCGUAAGAUUAGGUAGUUGGUGGGGUAAAGGCCUACCAAGCCGACGAUCUUUAGCUGGUCUGAGAGGAUGAUCAGCCACACUGGGACUGAGACACGGCCCCAGAUCCUACGGGAGGCCGCAGUGGGGAAUAUUUGACAAUGGGCGAAAGCCUGAUCCAGCAAUGCCGCGUGAGUGAUGAAGGCCUUAGGGUUGUAAAGCUCUUUUACCAGGGAUGAUAAUGACAGUACCUGGAGAAUAAGCUCCGGCUAACUCCGUGCCAGCCGCCGCGGUAA